CGCGCCAAGGAAAACCAAACGAAGCGUCCGCCCCCGGCAUCCCGUUCGCGGGGCGUGCCGUGGGAUCGGGCGUCUAUCAAAUGUCAAAACGACUCUCGGCAACGGAUAUCUCGGCUCUCGCAUCGAUGAAGAACGUAGCGAAAUGCGAUACUUGGUGUGAAUUGCAGAAUCCCGUGAACCAUCGAGUCUUUGAACGCAAGUUGCGCCCGAAGCCAUUAGGCCGAGGGCACGUCUGCCUGGGCGUCACGC
Molecule: ribosomal RNA, 249 nt
Filed under: Mentha x piperita (peppermint)
Lineage: Eukaryota; Viridiplantae; Streptophyta; Magnoliopsida; Lamiales; Lamiaceae
Description: 5.8S ribosomal RNA
Rfam family: 5.8S ribosomal RNA (bases 91-246)
About the family: 5.8S ribosomal RNA (5.8S rRNA) is a component of the large subunit of the eukaryotic ribosome.
Source: RNAcentral